GAUGAACGCUGGCGGCAUGCCUAACACAUGCAAGUCGGACGGGAAACUCGGGCAACGGUGUUUCCAGUGGCGGACGGGUGGGUAAUGCGUAAGAACCUGCCCUUGGGCGGGGAACAACAGCUGGUAACGGCUGCUAAUACCCCGUAGGCUGAUGUGCAAAACGAGGAAUCCGCCCGAGGGGGGGCACGCGUCUGAUUAGCUAGUUGGUGAGGCAAUAGCUUACAAAGGCGAUGAUCAGUAGCUGGUCCGAGAGGAUGAUCAGCCACACUGGGACUGGGACACGGCGCAGACACCUCCGCGAGACAGCAGAGGGGAAUAUACCGCAAUGGGGGGGGGCCUGAGAGAGCAAUGCCGCGGGGAAGUAGAAGGGGCACGGGUGGUGAACUGCUUUUCUCGCAGAAGAAGUAAUGACGGUAUCUGGGGAAUAAGCACCGGCUAACUCCGUG
This 446-nucleotide ribosomal RNA is filed under the name uncultured bacterium. Its description in RNAcentral is "partial 16S ribosomal RNA". It matches the Rfam family "Bacterial small subunit ribosomal RNA", at positions 28 to 507 of the family's 1533-position model. The record is from RNAcentral.